Molecule: ribosomal RNA, 252 nt
Filed under: uncultured bacterium
Lineage: Bacteria
Description: partial 16S ribosomal RNA
Rfam family: Bacterial small subunit ribosomal RNA
Source: RNAcentral
UACGUAGGGGGCGAGCGUUGUCCGGAAUUAUUGGGCGUAAAGCGCGCGCAGGCGGUUCGUUAAGUCCGGCGUUUAAGCCCGGGGCUCAACCCCGGUACGCGCGGGAAACUGGCGGACUGGAGUGCAGGAGAGGGAAGCGGAAUUCCACGUGUAGCGGUGAAAUGCGUAGAGAUGUGGAGGAACACCAGUGGCGAAGGCGGCUUCCUGGCCUGUAACUGACGCUGAGGCGCGAAAGCGUGGGGAGCAAACAGG